UGUUGCCAUUUUUGAGAGUGAUAGCACUAAGACACCAUUAUCUGAAAAGAAACAGACAAGAAUUUAUCUCAACUCUUUGCACAGGUUUGUUCAGACAUUGUAAAAAGCUUUGGGUUGUUCUGCUGGAGGCUCAGCACUUCGUAUUCCUCAGGUGCUAAGAGCACUGGCUGUUAUUUCUGCCAUGAAUCCUUUGAGCAGGAGCUUCCCAAGCCAGACCUGUAUCUGAUACAAGUUGUGAAUCUGCCUCAGAUGAUAGUGAGAAAACAUUUCCACCUAAUCAGAUGUGGAUUUUCAAGGUUUCUGACAGCAUUUCUGAACUGAUGCCGUGAGGCCAGAUGCUGUCAGAAAGUUGCUGAUGUGGAGCAGCUCUCCUGGCUUAGUGAAGUUUUUGUUCUUACGGCCUGAGGACAUCUGAUUGGUGCUGCAAAACACUCUAUAUGGUAUUUUGUAAUUGUUACCCCUUAGAAGAUGAUGACCUUCUAGACUCAUGUCAAGAUAUGUGCACCCACUUCUGUUUUUUAGUUAAGAUCCUCUAGGAACCAGGUUACCAUGAAUAAUAAUAAAUGCAAUAUUCCAACCAAGA
This 583-nucleotide long non-coding RNA is filed under the name Ficedula albicollis (Collared flycatcher). RNAcentral's name for it is "lncRNA (ENSFALG00000028635.1)". Lineage: Eukaryota; Metazoa; Chordata; Aves; Passeriformes; Muscicapidae. The record is from RNAcentral.